This 412-nucleotide ribosomal RNA is filed under the name uncultured bacterium. RNAcentral describes it as "bacterial SSU rRNA". It matches the Rfam family "Bacterial small subunit ribosomal RNA", at positions 505 to 916 of the family's 1533-position model. The record is from RNAcentral.
AUGUCAGCAGCCGCGAUAAUACGUAGGUGGCAAGCGUUGUCCGGAAUUAUUGGGCGUAAAGAGCAUGUAGGUGGGCUGUUAAGUCUGUUGUGAAAAUGCGGGGCUCAACCCCGUAUUGCGAUGGAAACUGACAGUCUUGAGUGCAGGAGAGGAAAGGGGAAUUCCCAGUGUAGCGGUGAAAUGCGUAGAUAUUGGGAGGAACACCAGUGGCGAAGGCGCCUUUCUGGACUGUGUCUGACACUGAGAUGCGAAAGCUAGGGGAGCGAACGGGAUUAGAUACCCCGGUAGUCCUAGCCGUAAACGAUGGGUACUAGGUGUAGGGGGUAUCGACCCCCCCUGUGCCGGAGUUAACGCAAUAAGUACCCCGCCUGGGGAGUACGGCCGCAAGGUUGAAACUCAAAGGAAUUGACGG